AUUGAACGCUGGCGGCAUGCUUUACACAUGCAAGUCGAACGGUAACAGGUUAAGCUGACGAGUGGCGAACGGGUGGGUAAUGCAUCGGAACGUGCCCGAUCGUGGGGGAUAACGCAGCGAAAGCUGCGCUAAUACCGCAUACGAUCUGAGGAUGAAAGCGGGGGACCGUAAGGUCUCGCGCGAUCGGAGCGGCCGAUGUCAGAUUAGGUAGUUGGUGGGGUAAAGGCCCACCAAGCCGACGAUCUGUAGCUGGUCUGAGAGGACGACCAGCCACACUGGGACUGAGACACGGCCCAGACUCCUACGGGAGGCAGCAGUGGGGAAUUUUGGACAAUGGGCGAAAGCCUGAUCCAGCAAUGCGGCGUGCAGGAAGAAGGCCUUCGGGUUGUAAACUGCUUUUGUACGGAGCGAAAAGGUCCUUUCUAAUACAAGGGGCUCAGGACGGUACCGUAAGAAUAAGCACCGGCUAACUACGUGCCAGCCGCCGCCGUAA
This 493-nucleotide ribosomal RNA is filed under the name uncultured bacterium. RNAcentral's name for it is "partial 16S ribosomal RNA". It matches the Rfam family "Bacterial small subunit ribosomal RNA", at positions 29 to 523 of the family's 1533-position model. The record is from RNAcentral.